RNAcentral lists this long non-coding RNA (823 nucleotides) under Trifolium pratense (red clover). Its description in RNAcentral is "long non-coding RNA (TPRA_LNC012926)". The record is from RNAcentral. Lineage: Eukaryota; Viridiplantae; Streptophyta; Magnoliopsida; Fabales; Fabaceae.
ACUACCUUACAAAGCCACCAAAUAAUGCUCAAAAAUUCACUAUAGAAACUUUUUUAUUUUUUGAACAGCAAAUGCAGAGACCGACACAAAAGUAACUACAUAACAAGGCGCCGUAUAUAUGCGGAACGCCAAAAAUAAACAUCAAAACAAACACCAGCUAACAAUGCAUUGCUCCACUAUUCAGUUUUUGUUCUUUCCACUCUACUAAAAAACUACAAAUCCUUCAAAACAUGAAAACAAAUGCUACUAUACUAUCACUGGAAUUGUCAAUUUCUAUUUUGUAAUUCAAUUUCUGUUCCACUCUACUACAAAACUACAAAUUGUCAAUUUCAUUCAUGUUAAAAAUGCAAAUCUAAAACACAACAAUGUAGAAAUUAAGCCUAAGUUUAAAAAACAAACUUCAUAUCUAAAAAAUAAAUCAGCCAAUUACAUUUUCAGAUCUUCAAUCUUCCAAACUAAUGAAGCAACUAAAUGCAGUUUCCAAUAACAGAUUUUACAAGAAAUUUUUGCAAUAUCAAACCCUAAGCUAGGUUAAAAUCAACUUAAAAUCAAUUCCUAAACGAGGUAUACUCAGUGAAUAAUAGAUUCGAACUACAUAUCACAAAUUCGUGAGAUUCAGAGGAAUUUAGAGGGAUUCAACAAUUGAUUCCGUGAAUGAUUCGGCGAAAUGAAGAUGAAGAUGUAAGAUUCAUGAGAGAUUGAGAUGUAAGCGAGAGAUUCGGUGAAUGAUUCGACGAAUUGAACUUAGGAGAGAUUGAAAGCGAGAGAUGAAAAUGAAAGUGAUUUUGUGAAAUUGAUUCUGUGAGCGAGAGAGAAAAUGAAA